ACUGAACCAGUGACAAGCUGGGGGAAAUGACACUGUCCAGUAGUUGGAGGUCACACAGCCCCUUGCCUUAUUCUCAAACCCUAACCACAUGGCUGGAUAUUCCUGAAAUGCAUUCCUAAACCUCUGCUGCUGAGAAUAAUUGGACCUGCCAUCUAUUCCCAGUUUAACUGCCCUGUAUACCAAACAAAUCCAAUUCAAGCCAACAGGCAAAGUAUAGGCUCAGACAGAGCCCAUCCUAUGUGCAAGGCGGUGAGCAGGGGUGGAAAAUCUCACUGUGACUCAUCCAGCUGAUUUCUGGAGCACACUAGGUGAUGCCCCUCACUUGGCACCCGUGUUGGCGCUGGCAUCAUGGACAAUAGAAACACCCAGAUGUACACGGAGGGUAGAACCAAGGCUCCAGGGACGCAGCCAAGUCCUGGCCUGAGGAUCACCAUAAAGAGGGCUGGUGUUGAGCCCAUCAUACCAGGAGUCAGCAAGGUCAUGUUUCCGGAUGCUUCGGAAGUGGGCAGCAAGAAGCACCUCUCAUCAGCUUCACGAGGGCCAGAGAAGGGGCCCAGACUCAGAGAUGCAUUUGAGAAGGGGCCUUCAGAGCUCAGAAUCCAGGAGCAGGGGCCUCCAGCAAGACCAGGGAAGAAACAGCCCUCUUGGGUCCCCCAGGAAGGGUCCCAGGAGCUGCAAGCAGGCCAGGAUCAGAGUGAGCUGGGGUUGCUGCCUUCCUGGGUUCCUGAAGUACCUGAAGGGCUGCAGCAGCUGGGCUCCGGAAAGGAGAUCAAGGGCCAGCAGGGGAGGCAACGGAACCGGGGAAUCGGGGAGGAUCAGCCUCCUGAGAGCUGCCAGGGCUCCGGAUAUCAAUCCACCCCCAGUCACCAGGCAGACAUGGUGCAGCCAGCAGAGCCUUGCUGCCGCUUGGCCAGCCAUGGCCAGCCACUGGGAGGCAAGCACCCCAAGGAGGCAGGUGUCCCACACAUCAGGCCACAGGAGGCUCCGCCAGAGCCCAGCCCAGGGGGACAUGGGGACAGCUCUCAGGAAGCAAUGCCCCCAAUGUCCGUCGUGGCUCCAGAGGAAAAGACAGUCAACCCCUUCCUGCCAUCCACGCCUGGACCUAAAAAAGCAAAAGGAGGGAGGGCAGACAACAGGCAUGAACAAAGCCAAGUGGUGGGACCAGGAGUAACUCACUCAAGACCAUGGCUCAGCCGGGCGCGGUGGAACACGCUUGUCAUCCCAGCACUUUGGGAGGCCAAGGCGGAGGAUCACUUGAGGAGGUGAGGGACAUUGGAGAGAGGCGGGAGCCAGACCGUGCGCAGCAGCAGCCUCAGAAGCCCGCGGUGGCUGCAGGGACACAGAGCCUCGGGAACUUCCGGCAGGGCUUCAUGAAGUGCUUGCUGGAGGUGGAGAAAAUGGAGGCCUCCCAUCGGAGAGCCUCGAAGGCCCGGUCCCAGACAGCCCAGAAGUCGCCCAGGACCCUGACCCCGGUGCCCACCUCAGCUCCAAGCCUGCCUCAGACCCCUGCCUCGGUCCCUGCCAGCGGCCCAUCGUGGGCCCGGCUGCCAGCUCCUGGGCCAGAACCUGCCCCCAUGGGAGCCCCGGUCCCCACCUCCAUGCCUUGCCCUGUCCUGCUGGGCCCUGCCCUGGACCUGGGCUGGAGAAGGAUGGAACUCUUGCACCAGAGCAGCGAGAGAACCCUGAGCUACGCCAAGGCGCGGCAGGAGCCGGAAGAGCAGAGCCUCCAAAAGCUUUAUCAAAACCGGGAGAAGUCCGAGGAGCAACUGACCCUGAAGCAAGAGGAAGCCUUCCGCAGCUACUUUGAGAUCUUCAAUGGUCCUGGUGAGGUGGAUGCACAGAGCCUGAAGAAUAUCCUGCUCCUAAUGGGCUUCUCUGUGACGCUGGCCCAGGUGGAGGACGCCCUGAUGAGUGCUGAUGUCAAUGGAGAUGGUCGUGUGGACUUCAAAGACUUCUUGGCUGUGAUGACAGACACCAGGCGCUUCUUCUGCUCUGUGGAACAGAACGCCCUGUCGGACAUGGCUCCCCACAACCCCCACACUCUACUCUUUGAGAUCCUGUCCCUGCUGGUAGAGAUGCUGGCCUUACCAGAGGCAGUCUUAGAGGAAAUCACAAACUACUACCAGAAAAAGCUGAAGGAAGGCACCUGCAAGGCCCAGGAGAUGGAAGCGGCCGUAGGCCGGCUGCGGUUGCAGAAGCUUCCCUACAACCCCCAGCAAGAAGAGAGCUCAGAAGUUCCAGAACGAAAGGUCCUCAGUAUCCUGAGCCGGCUGAAGCAGCAGAACUAUGGCAGCCAGGCCAAGGGAGCUGAGAGGCCAGUUUCCCACUUCGGGCUUAACUGUGUACAUCAGAAAACAGGCUGAUAAUCACUAUUUUCCAUCCAGGCCUAUGACAAUGGCCUCCUGCGUUGGACUCCUCCCCUCCUGCCUUAGCCUGAGCACAGCUCCCAACCUGCAGAGCCCCUAUGCCCAGGUGCCCUGCAUCCUGCUCUGCCCACAGCUGGACAAGAAGAUGGUCCGUAGGCAGCCGAGCAACCACUAUGCACUAGACCAGUGCACACCCCCUGGCCUGGAUCCUGACAUCCGCAGCCCCUUCUUCCAGUCAGGAUCUCAAGGAAACAGGGAACCAACGAGGGAGUGAGCCUGUGAGACUCAGCUUGCCACCUUGGCCACCACGUGCUGCCCUCAUCACAAAAACCACACCAACCACUCCGAAACGUAUCUGCUGGUCAGGAGCAGGGAGGCUGUCUGGCUGGCUGAGGGAUAAGGCGCAGUGCAACGGAAGGGAUCAGGAAGCCUGAGAGGAGCCAGGAAAUGUACCAGGUAUAGUUACUGAGCUGGGGCCACCAAUGGAGAUGGAGCACUGCAGACCCCUAAGAGUUCAAGCCAUGCUGGAGUGGGAAGACCUAUCCACCUUCUGAACAUACGAGGCAGAAGGCUCAGAGUCCUGGAGGCAGACUCUCUCCUGGUUUUCCUUGUGCUGAUGGCAAAAUACUAAACAAGUCUUCUCUCCGUCACUUCUAAGCCCAGGGAUGCAAUCUCACUCCCUGGCACUCUGCUUUCUUCUAGAAGUAGUAAGCCUGGCUGGUAGGGAACCACCCUGAGGGGUAUGGGAAGGGGAAGUCGGUUCACUUUCCCUAUCUCCCAAAAUACUAGAGGUGGGGUUGGCACCCUCCCCAGGCUCUCCGAGCCUACAGAGCUAGCCCAGUCUCCAGGCAAGGCCCAGAUGCCCUGGGACUUAGCUCGGGGAGGGAGGUAUAGGCAUGGGGUGCUCGUCUGUCCUGGCGGCUGCAGAGCCCUGCCCCUUUUCUGGGCGGCAGUAGGAAUACAGAAGCUAAGCUCACCAAAAUCCUAUUGGUUAAUGUUUCUAGUGAAUUUCCCAGAAACAUUUUUAAGUAGACUACCAAACUACCCUUUCUUAAUUAAAAAUUCAUUAAACCACUAAAA
Molecule: RNA transcript, 3446 nt
Organism: Homo sapiens (human)
Lineage: Eukaryota; Metazoa; Chordata; Mammalia; Primates; Hominidae
Gene: SPATA21
Gene name: spermatogenesis associated 21
Exons: 16
Source: RefSeq, marked validated